ACACACGUAUUUAAAAACCUGAUAAAGAUCAUAAAACCGGGCAUAGGUGCGAGUGUGCUAGACAAUGGCUUCAUUCGAUAAUGAUUGACGGGGUCGGAGUAAUUAAAGAAAACAACAUCUGUUUAAUGCAUUAACGAUGUGUGAACAUCGUCAAGUUAGUUAUUAAUCAAUUAGGUUAUGUUGUAAAUUUAUGACGAAUGUUGCAAACACUUUGUAGGCAUAUCCGCGACAGAAUAUUUUAGUGCAAAGAGGGGGAUAUUGUUCUUACCUUCAUCUGCAAUGACUGCCGCAACCGCCCUACAACGCCUGACAUCAGCCUAAACUUAGAAAAUGUCGCGCAGUCGACUAUGCUUGAGGCAUCCGAGGAUCCUGCUUUGCUUCCACGGUUCGAAAUUUCGCACGAUUUCGGAUUGUCCGACGUGUCAGCGUCAGAAGACAUAGCGCUCACCCGAACGUCCGAGUUUGAGCCUUUUGAUUUGACAAGAGUCGAAGUGCAACCGCCCGUUGUGAUCGACGAACGUAAUCUUCCAGAGCCAGCUGUAUCCGACAGUGUACUAACUCAGCCCGAAACCA
Molecule: long non-coding RNA, 573 nt
Organism: Dreissena polymorpha
Lineage: Eukaryota; Metazoa; Mollusca; Bivalvia; Myida; Dreissenidae
Exons: 3
Source: RefSeq, a predicted model, not a curated record